ACUUUGUUGUUUAAUUAUGGCAAUAGAAAGCGUAGCUUUAUUAUCUGCAUAAAUUGUUUUUAUUGUUAUUACAAAUAGGAUGUAAUUGUAAUUAUUAGCAGUUAGUUUUUUAUUAGAAUGGGGGUUUUUUAAGAGUGAAGUUGAUGAAAGGGGAUAGGGCACAGUGCCAGCAUCUGCGGUUAUUCUGUUUUCUUUGCUUUUUUGUGAGUAUUUGAUUUUGUGCUUAUAACUAAAGGUAGGUGAAAUUUUUUUAGUGUUAUAUUGUACAUAAAAUUAGGAAGAAGAUAUUGUUAUGACAGGGAUUAGAUACCCCAUUAAUAAUUUAGUUUAAUUUGGCUUUGGUCUCAACUAAAAUAGUUUGGCAGCGAGCGAAUCCUAUUGGGGGAAGGUGUGAAUUAAAGGACGACCCGCCUAUUAUUUUACUUUUGUUAUGUUGGUGUAUAUCUGGUUUAAUAUUGAUGCCUAAUGGCUUAAUUUGUGUAAGUUAUUUAUUUAAGCUAAGUCUAUGUGCUGCUUACAAAAGUUUUCAUGCGUUACUUUUAUAAUAUUUAUUAUUUGAGAUUAAUGAAAAUUUAGGACUCAGAAGUAAUAUGUAAUAAAUUUGUACAUGUGAAGUUGGUUUAGCUUGGGUACACACCGCCCGUCAUCCUCGAUUAUCGUUGAGGCAAGUCGUAACAAGGUAACUUUAAAGGAAUUUGAAGUUAGUUUUGUGCUAAAUUGGUUUAGUUCA
Molecule: non-coding RNA, 730 nt
Filed under: Raillietina sp. HL-2022
Lineage: Eukaryota; Metazoa; Platyhelminthes; Cestoda; Cyclophyllidea; Davaineidae
Source: RNAcentral